Molecule: microRNA precursor, 79 nt
Filed under: Medicago truncatula (barrel medic)
Lineage: Eukaryota; Viridiplantae; Streptophyta; Magnoliopsida; Fabales; Fabaceae
Description: MIR5269 microRNA precursor family
Rfam family: MIR5269 microRNA precursor family
Source: Rfam by way of RNAcentral
UUGGGUUAAAUCGUUGUAGGUCUACACUUUGGAAAUAAAACUCAUGCAAAGUGGUGAGACAUACAUCAAUUUCAUCCAA